ACGUAAGAAGAAAAGUUCUGAUGUUCAUCCAUCCUCUCCCAUGCUUAACUAAACUCAAGCCUUAACACGCCCAUAGAACUUGGACUUCUCCUGUGUUGUCUGGAAUCUACCAUGGCCAAACUUGGAGGAUGUAUCAAUAAACUUGAGCUUAAUCUCCUCCAAAGCAACCCUAGAUGUCUGGUUCAACAAUGAUUGUCUCAAGGUCACAACUCUCUUCUUUGGUCCCACGCAGCAUCCUUUUAUCAUCAAAUAAUCUUCCUUCACCACACCAUAAUGGGGGAAUCCUCCCAUUGGAGUGAUAUCCUUUUCAGUCCUGUUAUUUGUGAAACAGAUUAGCCAAUUUCGAUGGGGCAAAUUUACAAUAACAACAAUAACCUCCUACGAAUUGCUAGAUCAAGACGAAUGAUAUUAAUAUAGGACAGUGAAAAAAAGGCAUUAAGAAUGUUAACCUGUCAUAUUCAGUAAUUGCAGUAUGAGAAUCUUGGCCACUCUUCCCAAGCUUGUAGAUUUUCUUGUUCAUCUCAGUACGGUGAUGGUAACCAUUCUGUCCAGCCCUAGCAACAGUAAAUGACACCCUAGCUGGAUGCCAAGCACCAAUACAUGCCACCUUCCUUAGACCACGAUGGGUCUUGCGGGGCAGGCGGGUCACACCCCAACGAGUAACCACACCUUCAUAUCCCUUACCCUUGGUUACACCAAUAAUAUCAAUCAUCUCAUCCUUUUGGAAAACAGCAUCAAUAGGUAUCUGCUUCUCAAAGAAACUGUAUGCAAAAUCAACCUUCUUGGCAACAUCCCCACCAUUUACUUGAAUCUCCAUCAGAUGGGCUUUCUUCUGCUUCAACCCUUUCAUCUUUCUUAUCUGCAGAGUCAAUAGUGCAGCAAAUGUGAAGAGUUAAAGAUUAAAGAAGAGCACAUACAAGUUGUACUCAGAAGACCAAAACUGUGAAUCUAUACAAGGAUCAGCAAUCCAGCAGUCUUAAGGUGCUACUAAAUUGAUGAGUAAUUAUAUCUCAUUAGCAGAACUGAAUACACAAGGGAAAAGUGAAAGUAAUUUACCUGGGUGUGCGCCAAGACUCGAAUGACCGAACAAUGCUUCUUCAGUUUCUCCAAUUGAGCUUGAAUAUCUUUCUUCCCAUCCUCAGAUUCAAACUUUUUAGAGUACUUGGUGAAUGCCUUCUUCUUCGACUUGCACCAGUUCUUGUAGAAUCUCCUCCUCACAUCCUCACUCAAAUGCUGGGCCCAGACAGUGUUCAGUGAACGGAGACCACGGGGUGUUUUCAUAUAACCCACAACCCCAACCACCACCAUAGGUGGUGUCUCUACGAUAGUAACAGCCUCACAUGUUUCUUUCUUGUGGAGCUUUGACCCUGGCUUUUCAACUUCUCUGACAAUGUGGGUCAUCCCUGCUUUGUAACCCAGAAAAGCAGUCAAUCUGCAAGGUUUUGUUGGAUCAUCUUUGGGGAACGCCUUCACUGUAAACAUCACAUAAAAGCGUUAAAAAAAAAUCAACAAUUGCACAACACUAACCAAUAUGCAAAUUGCAAAAAUAGUCAAUAUAAACAACUCACAAGUGAGUAAGAAAUCAACAUUAACAAAUAUUGAAAUAAUUUAAUUGCAAGGCACUGAAAAAAAUCAAUGCAAACACUAAAACUAAGGAAGCAACAUAGGAAGAUGACACUCUUUAUGAAAACAAAAAAAAUUCUUGUAUUAAAAUCUAGAACUGCUAGGAAAUGCGAAUAAUUCAUUUAUAAUAACAAACCAACUACCAAGGCUAGGCAUAGGCCAUCUAUCUACCCACAACUCAUGCAGCAUAGAAAAGAGGCCAUUAUUGAAAUAUCAAGGACCUAUUUACUUGUAGAAAACAGUUUUUCUUUUCAACCUUCGAAGAAUUAGAAGACUAUAGUUUUCUUUUUAUAAAGAAAACAAAGGAAAAGAUGGAAAGCAAGUUCAAUAGUGAAUGAUAGAAAAUAGUUAUGUAUUUUAAAAAUUUUUAAGAAUUAUUUGUAUCCAUUCGUAAUAAAAAAAAAAGUCAUGAUAAAUAUAUUUUAGAUCUAUUUUUUAAUUGUGUCAAUUGUUUUAUCUUAUAAUAAUAUAGUUAGUUCUCAUUACUGUAAAUAAAUGUUUUUUCCCAACUUAAUGAUGAAAAGUUAUAGAAUAAUUUGAGUCAUUAGAGGAGAACAGUUGAAAAUAGAACUUUUGUUAUAAAGAAAAAUAAUGAGGAAAAAACAUAAAGCUGAUUUCCAAAUCUUAGUCAAGUUUUGGAAAAUUGAAAAACAAAAUUUUCAAUUCUCAGAUUGGAAAAUUGAUACAUAUGCACACAAAACUUUAUUUUCCAAUUUACUUAGAACAUUAUUCCCAAAAAUUACUCCAGUUUUCUACAAGUAAGAAAGUACAAAAAGUCCUGAGAUUUUUCAUGCCAAGGAAGAAAUGACAUACAAACGGACAAACCAUACAUGAAUUUAUUUUAUCAAAAGCCCUAUUUUUACAUCCAAAAAACCGAAGACAACCUUAACUAUAGAGGAGUUAGCUAAUACUAAAAAACCACCAUAAUAUGAUCAAAACUAAACAAAAAGCAAUUUAGGCAACAUCAAUUACUGAUAAUGAAAACAAUCAAUGCAUGACUUCAAAAAAAUCAACCAAUGCACAUUAUGUAAGGCCAAAUAUAAAUUUAAAAAGCUUCAGCAAUAAUGAGAUUAAAACAAGAAUUAGAAACCUUUUCCUCUGUGGCGCGAGGCUCUCUUCCUUGGAAGAAAUCCCAAAGAACCAUGCCGGGGGUGUUCAAACUUGCGAUGAGACAUGCUUCAACUUCAGGGUACCACUGCAACACUAUGAAUUUCAAACUUAUUUUCCUUGAAAAAGGCAGAAAAUUCACAACAACAGAAAGCAACAAAUUUUCAAAUGAUAUUUGGUUAAUCUCAAAUGCUACUACUUAUCAAUCUGCGUGUGUAUAAAACCAGAGAAACACUAUUCUCUCCAAGUGAAAAGGAUUAAAGAGGUAUUAUCCCAUAAAGGAGCUGAAAAUUGAGAUAAAGUUUCUGGAUAAAAGCAUAAUGACUAAAACACAGAUACAAAUUAAUAGAAACAUUCAAGUUUCAAUUAAAAAUAAUAAACAUUCUCAAAAAGAAGGGUAAGUUUUAAUAUUUAACAAUUAAUUUAUUAAAAAAAUACACAAUUGACAAUUUCAUUGAAAUACUAUGUAGUCAGACAAAAGUUUCUUGUAUUUGGAUCAGAUAAGGAAAAGUAAAAUCGUAAAUAAUCAAGAGAAACCAUCACAUUAAUUAAACCUGAUUGGAAGCCUCAAAACGGUUCUUUAUUCAACUUUAAAAAUCACUUAANNNNNNNNNNNNNNNNNNNNNNNNNNNNNNNNNNNNNNNNNNNNNGCCAUCAAAAUGCUACAAAGCCAAAAGGUCAUACAAUUUCAUUACUCAAUAAUCACGAAUUUCUUUUCUAGAAAAAAUGAAAUUAUAUCAACCCUUGACCUCUAAGCAUUUGAUAUCAACACCAAACCUUAAUAAGUGAAAUGAAAUGCUUCCCAACCAAAGGCCUAUGGCAUAAAAAUUAUGCCAAAUCUCAAAGCUCAGUGGUAUUCCUUUUCAAAUACCAAUUCAUGGUAUCGGCAAAAAGAGCCAUUUCCGAGACUCCAGCCUUGAUUAUUUCAGCAAUUCUCUUAUAAAGGGAAGUCGUUUCAAAAUCACCACCACGCAAGGCGCAAUAUCAAAAUGUUUAUCAGGACAAGAGCAUUAAAAGAACCUUUAAAAAACCUCCAAAACAUCUAUUUACAAAAGAGUAAAACAAGCAGAACCCAACUCCUUCCAGAACCAAGUAGAGAUCUAAGCUAAUCAAAUAUUGAAUCAAAAAGCGCAAACCAUUAUGAAUAAAUGACAGAAAUUGUAAGGUAUUACCUCCCGAGGAGAUCACUGGACGUACUGUGUGCCGAUAAGAACCCUAGAAAGGUUUAGCUAGGCAUUUAUAUCGUUCUCGAGGUCAGAUCCAACGGCUGCAAUUAGCAUCCAAUGGGUAUUAUUGUCCGUUGGAUGGUUAGGGUUGGGGUUUUGCAAGAAGCGCCGCGGAUCCAGCAGCUAUGGAAAAUAGUAAAUGGGCUAAGAAUAUUCAAAGUUGGGCUGAUUUGUUUUUUGGUUAGUGACUUUUAAGUUAAGUUUGGGUUCUGAGCAAAUUUUAAAAUGGUAUUUAGAAAUUGAAAACGUAAAUCAUAAAAUACUAUUUAUUUUAAUUUUGAAUAAAAAUUAUCUAUCAAAUAUUAAAAUAAUUAGUAACUAUUAAAACAUGUAAUAUUACUAGACAUUAUUUUGAAAAUAAUUUUUUUUAUAACAAUUAUAUAACCUUCAUGUGUAUAGAUGUAAAUAAUUUUUAUCAAAAUAAGAAAUUAAAUUUAUGGGAUAAAUUAUAGUUAAUCAAACUUUAUAAUUUUUUAAUUUUGUUAUAUAUAUUUAUGGUGUCCAAUAAAAAAUGUUAAAUUUUUAUUAAUUAGACAAAUAAAAAAUGUAAGGAUCUUUCUUCUUUUCUCGAAUGUGAGUUCUAUCCUUCCUUUGCCUCUAAGAGUGAGACACAUUUUUUUAGCUACUUUUACUCGGUGAAUUUAAAAAUUAGAAAGAAAUUAUAUUUUUUCUAUAUGCAUAUUUGGAUCUUUGUUGGUUUUCUCCUAUAUUUGCUUGGGUGGUUCAUAAUGUUCUAUUUGGACACUUUAUUUUUAGAGGAAACUCUUUUCCUUUAGAGGAAACUCUUUUCCUUUAGAGGACAUAGCCCCUUCCUUCGGGGGAGUUAUGUUUUUUGUGCUCAAUUAUUAUUUUUUUGUAGUUCUUGGUCUAAAUACUCUAAAAUCUAUUAAUAAAAUUAUUUUUUUUAAAAAAUAAGUUUUACCCUCCUUUCAGAUUCAAGCUUACUCAAUCAUGGAAAUAGCCUCUCUCAUUUCCAUCGAAUUUAGGGUACUCUGAUGCUCGGAAUGGAGGUCGUUUAUCGCAUCAUCACUAGCUCAUCCUCUCCUGAAGACCUAAAACAAUCUAUAAAUUCAAGUGGGAUUUUUCUCGAUAACAAUUUGAUCGAUAAAGUUCUCAAAAGGUUCAGGUUUGGUCAUGGGAAACCCUUGCAAGCACUUGAGCUCUUUAAAUUCACUGCCAAUAGAAAAGGGUUUUAUCACACUCCGAAUUCGUUAGAUACCAUGCUUUAUAUAUGGGCAAAGUCGUCAAUUUGAUCAUAUUUGGGAUGUUUUGAUUAAAAUGAAGAGGAAAGACCCGUCUUUGAUUUCCUCACGAACUAUGCAAGUGGUUUUGGGUAGACUGUGGAAUCUUUUAGAAUGUUCAAGAAGUUGGUUCCUGUGUUUGAUACCAGUUCUUUCAAUGCACUGUUGAGACCCUGUGUUUUCUUUAACAAAGGAAUGAUGAUCCAACCAAUGCACACGCCCCUGGAAUACCGCAGGGCAUAGAGCUCCCUACUUUCUUCUAAUACAAAAGCUACUUCCGACUGGUUUGUUCUUGGAGAAGGAGCUGGUUUUGCUCCUCUUAGAAGAGCUAGAACAUGCUAAGGUAUACCAGCUUUAGGUCAGCUUUUUCUAUUUGUUUUCUUUGAGAGGGGUUUGUUUCCCUUAUGUAUGGUCAAAUGCUGAGAUAACAGAGAAGAGGAGCAAAGAUUUACCCAGAAUUCCUAGGUGGAAGCUUCACAAGGGUAGCCCAAGUAUUUCUGUAGGUUGAAUUUCACAAAUAUGAUGGGCUUUAUGAGUUUUUUAUUUAUUGUAUUCAGGCCUUGAAAAAAAAAAAUAAAUAUCUAACAAUGAACUUUAAAAACUCGCAUCUCAUCCAAAAAGGUUCAGUAAUAAUUAAAGCAGCAGAUGCAGUCACUAAGCAAACCAACAGCAUAAGCACACCUCAAAAGGUUCAAACACUAGGAGAAAAACAAAUUCUCAAACGUAAGAAGAAAAGUUUUGAUGUUCAUCCAUCCUCUCCCAUGCUUAACUAAACUCAAGCCUUAACACGCCCAUAGAACUUGGACUUCUCCUGUGUUGUCUGGAAUCUUCCAUGGCCAAACUUGGAGGAUGUAUCAAUGAACUUGAGCUUAAUCUCCUCCAAAGCAACCCUAGAUGUCUGGUUCAACAAUGAUUGUCUCAAGGUCACAACUCUCUUCUUUGGUCCCACGCAGCAUCCUUUUAUCAUCAAAUAAUCUUCCUUCACCACACCAUAAUGGGGGAAUCCUCCCAUUGGAGUGAUAUCCUUUUCAGUCCUGUUAUUUGUGAAACAGAUUAGCCAAUUUCGAUGGGGCAAAUUUACAAUAACAACAAUAACCUCCUACGAAUUGCUCGAUCAAGAAGAAUGAUAUUAAUAUAGGACAGUGAAAAAAAAGCAUUAAGAAUGUUAACCUGUCAUAUUCAGUAAUUGCAGUAUGAGACUCUUGGCCACUCUUCCCAAGCUUGUAGAUUUUCUUGUUCAUCUCAGUACGGUGAUGAUAACCAUUCUGUCCAGCCCUAGCAACAGUAAAUGACACCCUAGCUGGAUGCCAAGCACCAAUACAUGCCACCUUCCUUAGACCACGAUGGGUCUUGCGGGGCAGACGGGUCACACCCCAACGAGUAACCACACCUUCAUAUCCCUUACCCUUGGUUACACCAAUAAUAUCUAUCAUCUCAUCCUUUUGGAAAACAGCAUCAAUAGGGAUCUGCUUCUCAAAGAAACUGUAGGCAAAGUCGACCUUCUUGGCAAUAUCCCCACCAUUCACCUGAAUCUCCAUUAGAUGGGCUUUCUUCUGCUUCAACCCUUUCAUCUUUCUUAUCUGCAGAGUCAAUAGUGCAGCAAAUGUGAAGAGUUAAGGAUUAAAGAAGAGCACAUACAAGUUGUACAUGAAAGAACAGAAUCAUGAAUCUAUUGAGGAUCAGAAAUCCAGCAGAGCCUUAAAGUGCUACUAAAUUAUUGAGUGAUGAUAUCUCAUUCACAAAUACAGAAAUGAAUGCACAAGGGAAAAGUGGAAGUAAUUUACCUGGGUGUGCGCCAAGACCCGAAUGACGGAACAAUGCUUCUUCAGUUUCUCCAAUUGAGCUUGAAUAUCUUUCUUCCCAUCUUCAGAUUCAAACUUCUUAGAGUACUUGGUGAAUGCCUUCUUUUUGGACUUGCACCAGUUCUUGUAGAAUCUCCUCCUCACAUCCUCACUCAAAUGCUGGGCCCAGACAGUGUUCAGUGAACGGAGACCACGGGGUGUUUUCAUAUAACCCACAACCCCAACCACCACCAUGGGUGGUGUCUCUACGAUAGUAACAGCUUCACAUGUUUCUUUCUUGUGGAGCUUUGACCCUGGCUUUUCAACUUCUCUGACAAUGUGGGUCAUCCCUGCUUUGUAACCCAGAAAAGCAGUCAAUCUGCAAGGUUUUGUUGGAUCAUCUUUGGGGAAUGCCUUCACUGUAAACAUCACAGAAAAGCGUAAAAAAAAUCAACAAUUGCACAACACUAACCAAUAUGCAAAUUGCAAAAAUAGUCAAUAUAAACAACUCACAAGUGAGUAAUAAAUCAACAUUAACAAAUACUGACAUAAAUUUAAUUGCAAGGCACUGAAACAAAUCAAUGCAAACACUAAAACUAAGGAAGCAACAUAGUAAGAUGACACUCUUUAUGAAAACAAAAAAAUGCUUGUAUUAAAAUCUAGAACUGUUAGGAAGUGCGAAUAAUUCAUUUAUAAUAACAAACCAACUACCAAGGCUAGGCAUAGGCCAUCUAUCUACCCACAACUCAUGCAGUCAGAAAAGAGGUUAUUAUUGAAAUAUCAAGGACCUAUUUACUUGUAGAAAACAGUUUUUCUUUUCAACCUUCGAAGAAUUAGAAGACUGUAGUUUUCAUUUUAUAAAGAAAACAAAGGAAAAGAUGGAAAGCAAGUUCAAUUGUGUAUGACAGAAAAUAGUUUUGUAUCUUAAAAAUUUUUUAAAAAUUAUUUGUAUCCAUUCGUAAUAGAAAGAGUCAUGAUAAAUAUAUUUUACAUCUAUUUUUUUAAAUGUGUCAAUUGUUUUAUCUUAUAAUAAUAUAGUUAGUUUUCAUUACUGUAAAUAAAUGUUUUUUCCAAACUUAAUGAUUAAAAGUUAUAGAAUAAUUUUAGUCAUUAGAGGAAAACAGUUGAAAAUAGAACUUUUGUUAUAAAGAAAAAUAACGAGGAAAAAACAUAAAGCUGAUUUCCAAAUCUUAGUUAAGUUUAGAAAAUUGAAAAACAAAAUUUUCAAUUCUCAGAUUGGAAAAUUGAUACAUAUGCACACAAAACUUUAUUUUCCAAUUUACUUAGAACAUUAUUCCCAAAAAUUACUCCAGUUUUCUACAAGUGAGAAAGUACAAAAAGUCCUGAGAUUUUUCAUGCCAAGGAAGAAAUGACAUACAAAAGGACAAACUAUACAUGAAUUUCUUUAAUCAAAAGCCCUAUUUUUACAUCCAAAAAACAGAAGACAACAUUAACCAUAGAGUUCGCUAAUACUAAAAAAACACCAUAAUAUGAUCAAAACUAAACAAGAAGCAAUUUAGGCAACAUCGAUUACUGAUAAUGAAAACAAUCAAUGCAUGACUUCAAAAAAAUCAACGAAUGCAUAUUAUGUAAGGCCAAAUAUAAAUUUAAAAAGCUUCAGCAAUAAUGAGAUUAAAACAAGAAUUAGAAACCUUUUCCUCUGUGGCGCGAGGCUCUCUUCCUUGGAAGAAAUCCCAAAGAACCAUGCCGGGGGUGUUCAAACUUGCGAUGAGACAUGCUUCAACUUCAGGGUACAACUGCAACACUCUAUGAAUUUCAAACUUAUUUUCCUUGAAAAAGGCAGAAAAUUCACAACAACAGAAAGCAACAAAUUUUCAAAUGAUAUUUGGUUAAUCUCAAAUGCUACUGCUUAUCAAUCUGUGUGUAUAAAACCAGAGAAACACUAUUCUCUCCAAGUGAAAAGGAUUAAAACAGGUAUUAUCCCAUAAAGGAGCUGAAAAUUGAGAUAUAGUUUCUGGAUAAAAUCAUAAUGACUAAAACACAGAUACAAAUUAAGAGAAACAUUCAAGUCAAUUAAAAAUAAUAAACAUUCUCAAAAAGAAGGGUAAGUUUUAAUAUUUAACAAUUACUUUAUUAAAAAAUACACAAUUGACAAUUUCAUUGAAAUACUGUGUAGUCAGACAAAAGUUUCUUGUAUUUGGAUAAGAUAAGGAAAAGUAAAAUCGUAAAUAAUCAAGAGAAACCAUCAGAUUAAUUAAACCUGAUUGGAAACCUCAAAACGGUUCAUUAUUCAACUUUAAAAAUCAAUUAAAAAAAUUUUUGAAAAAAAAGACUCAGCCAUCAAAAUGCUACAAAACCAAAAGGUCAUACAAUUUCAUCACUCAAUAAUCACGAAUUUCUUUUCUAGAAAAAAUGAAAUUAUAUCAACCCUUGACCUCUAAGCAUUUGAUAUCAACACCAAACCUUAAUAAGUGAAAUGAAAUGCUUCCCAACCAAAGGCCUAUGGCAUAAAAAUUAUGCCAAAUCUCAAAGCUCAGUGGUAUUCCAUUUCAAAUACCAAUUCAUGGUAUCGGCAAAAAGAGCCAUUUCCGAGACCCCAGCCUUGAUUAUUUCAGCAAUUCUCUUAUAAAGGGAAGUCAUUUCAAAAUCACCACCAGGCAAGAUUAUCAGGACAAGAGCAUUAAAAGAACCUUUAAAAAACCUCCAAAACAUCUAUUUACAAAAGAGUAAAACAAGCAGAACCCAACUCCUUCCAGAACCAAGUAGAGAUCUAAGCUAAUCAAAUAUUGAAUCAAAAAAAGCAAACCAAGUAGAGAUCUAAGCUAGAAGUUUAAUUAUCAUGUAUGUUUAUGAAUCAAUGACAGGAAUUGUAAGGUAUUACCUCCCGAUGAGGAGAUCACUGGACGUACUGUGUGCCGAUAAGAACCCUAGAGAGGUUUAGCUAGACAUUUAUAUCGUUCUCGAGAUGAGAUCCAACGGCUGUAAUUAGCAUCCAAUGGGUAUUAUCGUUGGAUGGUUAGGGUUAGCGUUUUGCAAGAAGAGCCGCCGAUCCAGCAGCUAUGGAAACUAGUAAAUGGGCUAAGAAUAGAGAAAGCCGACUACAUCCAGUCCAAUAUUCAAAGGUGGGCUGAGUUGUUUUUUGGUUAGUAACUUUUAAGUUUGGGUUCUGAGAAAAUUUUAAAAUGGUAUUUAGAAAUUGAAAACGUAAAUCAUAAAAUACUAUUUUUUUUAAUUUUGAGUAAAAAUUAUCUAUCAAAUAUUAAAAUAAUUAGUAACUAUUAAAACAUGUAAUAUUACUAGACAUUAUUUUGUAAAUAAUUUUUUUAUAAAUGUAAAUAAUGUUAUCAAAAUAAGAAAUUAAAUUUAUGGGAUAAAUUAUAGUUAAUCAAACUUUACCAUUUUUCUAAUUUUGUUAUAUAUAAUUAUGGUGCCCAAUAAAAAAUGUUAAAUUUCUAUUAAUUAGACAAAUAAAUCUAACCGUGGUUUUAUUUUUUUUUUUUUUUAAAUAAAGAUUCUCUCUCCAAAUUCCUUUCUUAAGUUUUAACUUAAAUUCAUUUGCUGCCUCCUGUGCGGGUGAGCAGUAUUCGGUUCAAAUCGAAAAAAUUGAUCGAACCGAACUGAUUUAAAAUUUUAGUUCGGUUUUUUAUAUAUUUUGGUUCAGUUUGGUUUUUAAUUUUAGAAAUUUCGGUUAUUUCAAUUCGGUUCGAUUUUAAUUAAAAAAAAAUCGAAAAAACCGAAUCAAACCGAUUAGUAAUAAUAAUAUAUUUUUUCAAUAAUAUAGAGAAAUUAAAUCAUAUUAAAAUUAAAAUAUUUUAAUUAAAUUUUAAAAUAUUAAAAAUAAAAUGUAAAAAAUAAAAAAAUUAUUAAAAAUCGAAACUGAUCAAACCGAACCGAAUCGAACCGAAUCAUACCGGUUUGGUUCGAUUCGAUUUCUAAUCAAAAUCGGUUCGGUUCGAUUUUCAUAAAUACUAAAAUUUCGGUUUCGGUUUAUUCGAUUCGGUUCGAUUUUGAACCGAACUGACCGAAUGCUCACCCCUACUCCUGUGGUUUAUCAUAUCUCUGCAUGUAAGAGGAUCCUUCUACCCUUCCUUUGCCUCUAAGGGUAAGAGAGACCUCUUUUCUUUUUUGAAUAUAGUUUCUAUUUUCUCCCAUCCGAUUGGAUUGUAGAUAAUCCUUUUAACUAUUUUUACUCGGUUGUAUUUAAGCAUUCGAAAGAGAUCAUAUAUUUUUUAUAUGCAUAUUUGAAUCUUUGUGGGUUUUUCUCCUCUUUGCUUGUCUCUUUCAUAAUGUUCUAUUUGUAUACUUUAUUUUUAAAGUAAACUCCUUUACUUUAGAGGACAUGCCCCUUCUUUAGCAUGAAUUAUAUUUUUUGUGUCUAAUUGUUAUUUUUUUUGCGAUUGUUGGUCUAAAGAUUCUAAAUUACUCUUUGAUGAUUAUCAUUCGAUAGAGGGGGCAAGAAACAAAAUAAUAGUUGUAUCUAGCACAUGCUCGUAAACAGUUUAGAAAGCAGGAAUGAGAUGACAAAUAAUGAUACCACCUUUAUUCAUUGCCAACACAUAAUAGAUGUAGAGUUUCUAUAUGGUUCGGUACUCAAUGGUUUUCUCUUUAUCUUUCUUCGAAUAUUUUUUAUUUCUUUACUUUUUUUUAUUUUUCACAUUUAAAUUUAUCAAUAUCAACAUCUCAAUAAAUAGCUAGCUUAGUAUAGUUAGGGUUAUAUAAUUUUUUUUCAGUAGGAUAGGCUUGCUUGUAAUGGGAUUGUGUUUUACAUGUAUGAAAGAAUAAAUAUCAAAUACUUAAAUUUUUAAAAAAUUUAUUAAUUUAUUUAUAUUUUAAAAUUAUUCAAUUAAAAUAUCUUUAUAUUUUACAUAAUCAAACUCUUGUAAUUUUUAUGUUACUUUACAAGAUUUAUUUUAAAUUUGAUCAGAAAAAUUAAAUAGUAUGAAUAUUUCAAAUUAUAAAAAUUAAAUAAUACAUAUAAUUAAAAUUAUAAAAACCAACCAAAACAAUUAUUCCAGGUAGGUUGCUAAUGUUUUUUUUUUUUAACAGAAAAAAAAAUUUAUAUUUUACAAAAUAUAAAAAUAAUUUAAUGGAGUGAUUUGAAAAUAAAAACAAACUAGUUUAUUUAAUAAAAUUUCAGGGAUUACAUAAUAAUUUAGCCUAGAUGUAUUUGGGAUGGGUUUGGACCAAGCAAUAUUGUUUUUUCUUUUUAGUCAUAGCCUAUCUGAGGGCCCUCAACUAGAAAAUGAAAUUGCAUUAAUAAAAUUAAUUUGGUUGGACUCAAUUAAAUUUGAUAUAUUGGCUUGGAUUAAUUAUAAAUUCAGUUUCAGUUAUGUUUCUCAAUAUUAACUUUAAUUUGAAACUUAAUUACAAUUAAUUAAAAAGUUAAACUAUUCUAUUGGCUCCUUUCUAGAUUACCUCAGCUUGAUACGGUCUUUUGCCCAGAAAUGCAAGAAAUCUAGAAUGUUUACUUCUAGAUGAUGUGCAAGUCCAUUAGUUCUUUUGGGUCGGAUCUAGAGAAUCCAAUCAGGAUUAAUGUUUUCUGGGUGGAAUUUACAUUUGAGUUGUCUUUUACUGGAACCAAAUCAUUGUACUUUUAGGCCAUAGUUAAUGAUAUUUCAAUCCAAAAUUUGAUACUAAAUUCACAUUGAUUUCACACAUCUCAAAAACCAUAAAGAUGACCUUGACAUAAUACUUAUUAAUAAAUUCGAUUAUUAUAUGGGCAAUCUAUUAACAGAAAAUGGACAUUAAACUGAAAAGCAUCGAACAGAAGUAAUACAAAUACCAUAUGCAUUGCAUUUUGUGCUCAAGCAGACACUUGAAAGCUAAUGAUCUGGAUUAGGAAUACUAUUACUUCAUACAUGCUUCCAUUCAGUCAUCAAGCAAACUGGCUUUGUUAAUGGUACCUCAAAUCAUCAAUGUCAUGCCCUUUGAGAGCAAAAUGGAGCACUGAAAUCAAUGGCAUUCAGAUAUAUAAAUAGCAGUAAAUAAUUUAAUAAGGAAAGCUCCAAACAGGUUCAGUAAUAAUUGAAGCAACAAAACUACAGUCACCAACAAAAACCAACAGAGUAAUCCAACUCAAAAAUUUCAAACACUAGGAGAAAAAGUUGUGAUGUUUAUUUAUCCUCUCCCAUGCUUAGCUAAACUCAAGCCUUAACCCGCCCAUAGAACUUUGCCUUCUCCUGUGUUGUCUGGAAUCUACCAUGGCCAAACUUGGAGGAUGUAUCAAUGAACUUGAGCUUAAUCUCCUCCAAAGCAACCCUAGAUGUCUGGUUCAACAAUGAUUGUCUCAAGGUCACAACUCUCUUCUUUGGUCCCACGCAGCAUCCUUUUAUCAUCAAAUAAUCUUCCUUCACCACACCAUAGUGGGGGAACCCUCCCAUUGGUGUGAUAUCCUUUUCA
This 13338-nucleotide long non-coding RNA is filed under the name Manihot esculenta (cassava). RNAcentral describes it as "long non-coding RNA (MESC_LNC006214)". The record is from RNAcentral. Lineage: Eukaryota; Viridiplantae; Streptophyta; Magnoliopsida; Malpighiales; Euphorbiaceae.